AUGCAAGUCGACGCACAGCGAAAGGUGCUUGCACCUUUCAAGUGAGUGGCGAAGGGGUGAGUAACACGUGGACAACCUGCCUCAAGGCUGGGGAUAACAUUUGGAAACAGAUGCUAAUACCGAAUAAAACUUAGUGUCGCAUGACACAAAGUUAAAAGGCGCUUCGGCGUCACCUAGAGAUGGAUCCGCGGUGCAUUAGUUAGUUGGUGGGGUAAAGGCCUACCAAGACAAUGAUGCAUAGCCGAGUUGAGAGACUGAUCGGCCACAUUGGGACUGAGACACGGCCCAAACUCCUACGGGAGGCUGCAGUAGGGAAUCUUCCACAAUGGGCGAAAGCCUGAUGGAGCAACGCCGCGUGUGUGAUGAAGGCUUUCGGGUCGUAAAGCACUGUUGUAUGGGAAGAACAGCUAGAAUAGGAAAUGAUUUUAGUUUGACGGUACCAUACCACAAAGGGACGGCUAAAUACGUGCCAGCAGCCGCGGUAAUACGUAUGUCCCGAGCGUUAUCCGGAUUUAUUGGGCGUAAAGCGAGCGCAGACGGUUUAUUAAGUCUGAUGUGAAAGCCCGGAGCUCAACUCCGGAAUGGCAUUGGAAACUGGUUAACUUGAGUGCAGUAGAGGUAAGUGGAACUCCAUGUGUAGCGGUGGAAUGCGUAGAUAUAUGGAAGAACA
This 670-nucleotide ribosomal RNA is filed under the name Leuconostoc mesenteroides. Its description in RNAcentral is "bacterial SSU rRNA". It matches the Rfam family "Bacterial small subunit ribosomal RNA", at positions 55 to 708 of the family's 1533-position model. Lineage: Bacteria; Bacillati; Bacillota; Bacilli; Lactobacillales; Lactobacillaceae. The record is from RNAcentral.